This 500-nucleotide ribosomal RNA is filed under the name uncultured bacterium. RNAcentral describes it as "partial 16S ribosomal RNA". It matches the Rfam family "Bacterial small subunit ribosomal RNA", at positions 28 to 507 of the family's 1533-position model. The record is from RNAcentral.
GACGAACGCUGGCGGCGUGCUUAACACAUGCAAGUCGAACGGGUCUGCCCUGUUUUUUGCGGGGUGGGUCAGUGGCGAACGGGUGAGUAACACGUGAGUAACCUGCCCCUCACUUCUGGAUAACCGCUUGAAAGGGUGGCUAAUACGGGGUGUUCUGGCUGUGCCGCAUGGUGUGGCUGGGAAAGAUUCACUUUUGUGGUGUUUUGGUGGGGGAUGGGCUCGCGGCCUAUCAGCUUGUUGGUGGGGUGAUGGCCCGCCAAGGCUUUGACGGGUAGCCGGCCUGAGAGGGUGGGCGGUCACACUGGGACUGAGAUACGGCCCAGACUCCUGCGGGAGGCAGCAGUGGGGGGUAUUGCACAAUGGGCGGAAGCCUGAUGCAGCGACGUCGCGUGAGGGAUGGAGGCCUUCGGGUUGUGAACCUCUUUCGCCGGUGAAGAAGGUCCUGCUCUUUGUGGUGGGGUUGACGGUAGCCGGGUUAUGAAGCGCCGGCUAACUACGUG